Molecule: ribosomal RNA, 253 nt
Filed under: uncultured bacterium
Lineage: Bacteria
Description: partial 16S ribosomal RNA
Rfam family: Bacterial small subunit ribosomal RNA
Source: RNAcentral
UACGUAGGGCGCAAGCGUUGUCCGGAAUUAUUGGGCGUAAAGAGCUCGUAGGCGGCUUGUCACGUCGGGUGUGAAAGCCCGGGGCUUAACCCCGGGUCUGCAUUCGAUACGGGCUAGCUAGAGUGUGGUAGGGGAGAUCGGAAUUCCUGGUGUAGCGGUGAAAUGCGCAGAUAUCAGGAGGAACGCCGGUGGCGAAGGCGGAUCUCUGGGCCAUUACUGACGCUGAGGAGCGAAAGCGUGGGGAGCGAACAGG